Molecule: small nuclear RNA, 18 nt
Filed under: Arabidopsis thaliana (thale cress)
Lineage: Eukaryota; Viridiplantae; Streptophyta; Magnoliopsida; Brassicales; Brassicaceae
Description: snRNA_12099
Source: RNAcentral
UCAAUAAGCGGAGGAAAA